CCUUUUGAUGAUGAUGAUCUUAUUGAUCAGGUUCUUGAAGGACUUAGUGAUGAGUACAAAUUCGUCAUUGAUGCAAUUAAUGCCCGUGACACGUCAAUUUCUUUUGUUGAGCUCCAUGAGAAACUUCUCAACAAAG
Molecule: small nucleolar RNA, 136 nt
Organism: Vitis vinifera (wine grape)
Lineage: Eukaryota; Viridiplantae; Streptophyta; Magnoliopsida; Vitales; Vitaceae
Rfam family: Small nucleolar RNA Z247
About the family: Z247 is a member of the C/D class of snoRNA which contain the C (UGAUGA) and D (CUGA) box motifs. Most of the members of the box C/D family function in directing site-specific 2'-O-methylation of substrate RNAs.
Source: Rfam